This 497-nucleotide ribosomal RNA is filed under the name uncultured bacterium. RNAcentral's name for it is "partial 16S ribosomal RNA". It matches the Rfam family "Bacterial small subunit ribosomal RNA", at positions 28 to 507 of the family's 1533-position model. The record is from RNAcentral.
GACGAACGCUGGCGGCGUGCCUAAUACAUGCAAGUUGGGCGCUGAAGGUUGGUACUUGUACCAACUGGAUGAGCAGCGAACGGGUGAGUAACGCGUGGGGAAUCUGCCUUUGAGCGGGGGACAACAUUUGGAAACGAAUGCUAAUACCGCAUAAAAACUUUAAACACAAGUUUUAAGUUUGAAAGAUGCAAUUGCAUCACUCAAAGAUGAUCCCGCGUUGUAUUAGCUAGUUGGUGAGGUAAAGGCUCACCAAGGCGAUGUUACAUAGCCGACCUGAGAGGGUGAGCGGCCACAUUGGGACGGAGACACGGCCCAAACUCCUACGGGAGGCAGCAGUAGGGAAUCUUCGGCAAUGGACGAAAGUCUGACCGAGCAACGCCGCGUGAGUGAAGAAGGUUGUCGGAUCGGAAAACUCUGUUGGUAGAGAAGAAAGUUGGUGAGAGUGGAAAGCUCAUCAAGUGACGGUAACUACCCAGAAAGGGACGGCUAACUACGUG